This is a long non-coding RNA of Oncorhynchus tshawytscha (Chinook salmon), 365 nucleotides long. The record is from Ensembl. Lineage: Eukaryota; Metazoa; Chordata; Actinopteri; Salmoniformes; Salmonidae.
GAUGGGGUCAGUUCUCUACUUAUUUGUAAGGUUCUUAGCAGUGUGACGGGGUCAGUUCUCUACUUAUUUGUAAGGUUCUUAGCAGUGUGACGGGGGUCACUUCUCUACUUAUUUGUAAGGUUCUUAGCAGUGUGACGGGGGUCAGUUCUCUACUUAUUUGUAAGGUUCUUAGCAGUGUGAUGGGGGUCAGUUCUCUACUUAUUUGUAAGGUUCUUAGCAGUGUGACGGGGGUCAGUUCUCUACUUAUUUGUAAGGUUCUUAGCAGUGUGAUGGGGUCAGUUCUCUACUUAUUUGUAAGGUUCUUAGCAGUGUGACGGGGGUCAGUUCUCUACUUAUUUGUAAGGUUCUUAGCAGUGUGAUGGGGG